Molecule: small nucleolar RNA, 168 nt
Filed under: Terrapene triunguis (Three-toed box turtle)
Lineage: Eukaryota; Metazoa; Chordata; Testudines; Emydidae
Description: Terrapene carolina triunguis (Three-toed box turtle) Small nucleolar RNA U3 (ENSTMTG00000022543.1)
Rfam family: Small nucleolar RNA U3 (bases 71-168)
About the family: Small nucleolar RNAs (snoRNAs) are involved in the processing and modification of rRNA in the nucleolus. There are two main classes of snoRNAs: the box C/D class, and the box H/ACA class.
Source: Rfam by way of RNAcentral
AUGAUCGACAACUGACUCUUCAAAUCUUUUGUACCGUUUAUUUUUAAAUAUUCUCUAAUAAUAUUUAAAUCUGUUCUUUCCUGAGUGUAAAGCGAGUAGGCAGUUGUUGUCUGUUAUUGAUGAUCUUUCUUCUCUCUGGGGAAGUAGGAGGGAAAGAACACAGACUGA